GCGGGCUUAGCUCAGUUGGUAGAGCAUCAGCUUCCCAAGCUGGGGGUCGCGAGUUCGAGCCUCGUAGCCCGCUCCA
RNAcentral lists this transfer RNA (76 nucleotides) under bacterium. RNAcentral describes it as "tRNA-Gly". It matches the Rfam family "tRNA". From Rfam's summary of the family: Transfer RNA (tRNA) molecules are approximately 80 nucleotides in length. Their secondary structure includes four short double-helical elements and three loops (D, anti-codon, and T loops). Further hydrogen bonds mediate the characteristic L-shaped molecular structure. tRNAs have two regions of fundamental functional importance: the anti-codon, which is responsible for specific mRNA codon recognition, and the 3' end, to which the tRNAs corresponding amino acid is attached (by aminoacyl-tRNA synthetases). tRNAs cope with the degeneracy of the genetic code in two manners: having more than one tRNA (with a specific anti-codon) for a particular amino acid; and 'wobble' base-pairing, i.e. permitting non-standard base-pairing at the 3rd anti-codon position. RNAcentral also lists the same sequence under 1 other name. The record is from RNAcentral.